This is a non-coding RNA of Pelobates cultripes (western spadefoot toad), 593 nucleotides long. The record is from the annotation of a GenBank genome assembly. NCBI's taxonomy places the organism in Eukaryota, Metazoa, Chordata, Amphibia, Anura, Pelobatidae.
AUGCAGUGUAGCAGGGCACUUUUUCCUGCUGAAAGAGACCACUGCUAUCAGGGAACACCAUCACCAUGAAGGGGUCUACGUGGUUUGCAACAAUCUCUAGGUGGGUGGUACAUGUCAAAGUAACAUCCACAUGAAUGCCAUAACCCAACGCUUCCCAGCAGAACAUUGCCCAAAGCAUAACACUGCCUCUGUCGGCCUGCUUUCCUCCCAUAGUGCAUCCUACUGCCAUCUCUUCUGCAGGUAAAUUAUGCACAUGCACCCGGCUGUCCACCUGGUGUUAAAGAAAACAUGAUUCAUCAGACUAGUCAACUUUCUUCCAUUUCUCCAUGAUCCAGUUCUGGCACUCAUGCCCCCAUUGAAGGAACUUUGCUUGCCCAUUUUGCCAUGAAAGGAUGUACAUGCUUUGCAAAAAUCUCUUGCCAGGUGGCACGUGUCAAAGUGACACUGGCUUCUUCCCAUAGUGCAUCCUUCUGCCAUCUCUUCCUCAGGUAAAUGAAGCACAUACACUAGGCCAUCCACCUAAUCUAAAAGAAAGCACCAUUAGACCAGGCAACCUUCUACUAUUUUUCCAUGGUCUAGUUCUGAUGCUCACG